Unclassified non-coding RNA from Astyanax mexicanus (Mexican tetra), 299 nucleotides. It matches the Rfam family "Metazoan signal recognition particle RNA". Rfam says of the family: The signal recognition particle (SRP) is a universally conserved ribonucleoprotein. It is involved in the co-translational targeting of proteins to membranes. Lineage: Eukaryota; Metazoa; Chordata; Actinopteri; Characiformes; Acestrorhamphidae. The record is from Ensembl.
GCCGGGCGCAGGGGCGCGCGCCUGUAAUCCAGGCUACUGGGAGGCUGAGGCUGGCGGAUCGUUUGAGCUCAGGGGUUCUGGGCUGCAGUGCACUAUGCCGAUCGGGUGUCCGCACUAAGUUCGGUAUCGAUAUGGUGCUCCUGAGGGAGCUCGGGACCACCAGGUCGCCCAAGGAGGGGUGAACCGGCCCAGGUCGGAGACGGAGCAGGUCAAAGCCCCCGUGCCGAUCAGUAGUGGGAUCGCGCCUGUGAAUAGACGCUGCAGAGCAGCCUGAGCAAGAUAGCGGAACUCAGUCUUUU